UCUGGGGUAACCCGGAAUCUGAAGGAAGCCGGGGGCAAAUCUCCGGCCCGAGGAACACGAAUCUCAUAGAAGGCUGUCAUUCUGGGACGAGGCAUGAUAGCAAUAACAUUACUUGCGUGAACGAAUUUUUUAAGAAAUUGGCGGAUUGACUCGUUGAAUCAUAUCUGC
RNAcentral lists this unclassified non-coding RNA (168 nucleotides) under Sediminibacillus albus. The record is from RNAcentral. Lineage: Bacteria; Bacillati; Bacillota; Bacilli; Caryophanales; Bacillaceae.